AUGAACGCUAGCGGCAGGCCUAACACAUGCAAGUCGAGGGGCAGCACAGGUAGCAAUACUGGGUGGCGACCGGCGGAUGGGUGCGUAACGCGUAUGCAACCUACCAUUGAUUGGGGCAUAGCCCGAAGAAAUUCGGAUUAAUACUCCAUAAUAUUCAUCAAAGGCAUCUUUUAUGAAUUAAAGCUUUUGCGAUCAAUGAUGGGCAUGCGUGACAUUAGUUAGUUGGUGAGGUAACGGCUCACCAAAACGAUGAUGUCUAGGGGUUCUGAGAGGAUUAUCCCCCACACUGGUACUGAGACACGGACCAGACUCCUACGGGAGGCAGCAGUGAGGAAUAUUGGUCAAUGGACGCAAGUCUGAACCAGCCAUGCCGCGUGCAGGAUGACGGCCCUAUGGGUUGUAAACUGCUUUUCCGCGGGAAGAACCCUCCGACGUGUCGGAGACUGACGGUACCGUGGGAAUAAGCAUCGGCUAACUCCGUG
Molecule: ribosomal RNA, 482 nt
Filed under: uncultured bacterium
Lineage: Bacteria
Description: bacterial SSU rRNA
Rfam family: Bacterial small subunit ribosomal RNA
Source: RNAcentral